ACACAGAGCUUCCCGCAAAAUGGCCUCCAUCAUGAACCUUGUAGCCAAAUUGCGGGGUUCCUGGAUCCUCACACUUGAUGAGUUCAAAACCUGCCGACGAGAGGAGAGAUGGGGUGCCAGUUCUGUGCCCAGCCCAUCUCAGUGCGAAUCUGGUCUGUAGGAACCGGUAGCUGUUCUAACCUUUCCAGUGGAGCUCUGCUUUGUCCCUCCAAACCCCAUAUGGCACCAGCUUACUCUUCAGCAGCCUGGGGAGGCAAGGAGGGGGCUGCCUGAAGGCCCAAGCCAUCUGUUUCUGCACACAGGCACACUGGAAGCACCCGACAUCUCUGCAUUGCUAAAUAAUCCUGUCCUUCCAGAUGAGAUAGCAGUCCUCCCGCCUGACCCCACCCCACCGUGGCAGUGGCCUGUCUUGACUACUCUCCUAGACAUGGCCCCUGGGAUGAAGCAGCAUGGAAUUAAAAUGACCAGUGUGUCACGGUGCCUUUCCUUUCCCCAAGCUCAGCCUCUGCCCCUUCCCUCCUAAAAUGAGGGCUCCAGCGAGGGCCUGCUGGGCUUGCCAUGGGUGGAAUCGCGCAGGCAUCUGGCUUCCCUCACUCCCAUCUGUCCCCUGAACUUCUGAGCACCAGCAAAGACAACAGUCAUCAGAAUAAUGAACUGGCUCCCCAGGUUCUGAGGUUGCUGCUCCUUUCCAGAUAAUUGUACAAAUAACAACAGAAGUUGUGAUUGAGUGAAGGACCCCCCUAGUGCUUUGGUAAAUAUCAAAGAUGGGAUCUAUGGGUGGGUGAUGAAUAUUUGCGCCUGGCACCGGAUGUGGUGCCAGCUGCCAGCAAAUUGGAACAAUAUUUCCAUUCUACUAUUUAUGAAGCAAAGCUUUCUAAAAGAAGCCAUCCUUUAAGCGAACAGUGCUGUAUAUUACAGAGAUUUGUUUAGGCCCCUGGGAGCCUCAAGUCUGUUUCCAGAUUCCUUGUACAGCACCACUGAUAGAUUGAGAGAAUUCUGGAGUUCCAACAGACAUAGAGAUGACACCAGUUCACCAGUGCUCACUGCAGCACCCAAGCUGUUAAAAAUAUUUUUACCCACUAAAACAUACUGGAAUUAAUUGAUCAAGGCAUUGAUCAUCAAUACUUGCUAACAUCACAGUAACAGAAACAAGCAGAUAUCAUGAACACUACUACUUACUUAUGGAGUCAUUUUGCUAAAAAAAAAAAAAAUCAAACCUGAGUCACAUCAAGUCACUGGAUCCAAUUUCUAACUUAUAGGAAGUACAGAGGACGCAGGAAUAUAUGAAAUGAUACUCUAGGAAUAUGUUCAGCAAACCUAGAAUAUGAAAAGUCCCACUGGAAAAAUUACCUGACCUCCUCAACAAAUAAAUUACAAGGGAUGGAGGAAAAAAAAAAGAUGGAGGCAGAAAGCCAUUGAUUAAAAACCAUA
Leopardus geoffroyi (Geoffroy's cat) is the source of this 1431-nucleotide long non-coding RNA. RefSeq lists it as uncharacterized. The record is from RefSeq and is a predicted model, not a curated record. Lineage: Eukaryota; Metazoa; Chordata; Mammalia; Carnivora; Felidae. The transcript has 2 exons.